AUGCAUAGGAAUCUACCUAGUAGUAUGGGAUAGCCACUAGAAAUGGUGGGUAAUACUGUAUAAUCCCUGCGGGGGAAAGAUUUAUCGCUAUUAGAUGAGCCUAUGUUAGAUUAGCUAGUUGGUAGGGUAAAGGCCUACCAAGGCAGUGAUCUAUAGCUGGUCUGAGAGGAUGAUCAGCCACACUGGAACUGAGAUACGGUCCAGACUCCUACGGGAGGCAGCAGUGGGGAAUAUUGGACAAUGGGCGCAAGCCUGAUCCAGCUAUGCCGCGUGAGUGAGGAAGGCCUUAGGGUUGUAAAACUCUUUCAGUAGGGAAGAUAAUGACGGUACCUA
Molecule: ribosomal RNA, 333 nt
Filed under: Anaplasma phagocytophilum
Lineage: Bacteria; Pseudomonadati; Pseudomonadota; Alphaproteobacteria; Rickettsiales; Anaplasmataceae
Description: bacterial SSU rRNA
Rfam family: Bacterial small subunit ribosomal RNA
Source: RNAcentral